RNAcentral lists this long non-coding RNA (239 nucleotides) under Mytilus galloprovincialis (Mediterranean mussel). The record is from RNAcentral. Lineage: Eukaryota; Metazoa; Mollusca; Bivalvia; Mytilida; Mytilidae.
AAAAAGAAAAUUUCUUCAAAUAUCAAAGGAUUAAUAUUCAACAGCAUACUGAAUUGCUCAAAAGCAAAAAAAAAACAUUUUUAGUUCAUUAGACCACAUUCAUUCUGUGUCAGAAACCUAUGCUGUGUCAACUAUUUAAUCACAAUCCAAAUUCAGAGCUGUAUCCAGUUUGAAUGUUGUGUCCAUACUAGCCCCAACCGUUCAGGGUCUCGACCUCUGCGGUCGUAUAAAGCUGCGCC